Molecule: ribosomal RNA, 425 nt
Filed under: uncultured bacterium
Lineage: Bacteria
Description: bacterial SSU rRNA
Rfam family: Bacterial small subunit ribosomal RNA
Source: RNAcentral
GUGGGGAAUUUUGCACAAUGGGGGAAACCCUGAUGCAGCGACGCCGCGUGGAGGAUGAAGGCCUUCGGGUUGUAAACUCCUUUUGUCGGGGACGAUGAUGACGGUACCUGAUGAAUAAGCCACGGCUAACUCUGUGCCAGCAGCCGCGGUAAGACAGAGGUGGCGAGCGUUGUUCGGAAUCACUGGGCUUAAAGGGCGCGUAGGUGGUAGUGCAAGUCCGUGGUGGAAUCCGGGAGCUUAACUCCCGAACUGCCAUGGAAACUGCGUUACUUGAGUCAGCGAGGGGAGGGUAGAAUUCCUGGUGUAGCGGUGAAAUGCGUAGAUAUCAGGAGGAAGGCCUGUGGCGAAGGCGGCCCUCUGGUGCUGGACUGACACUGAGGCGCGAAAGCGUGGGGAGCAAACAGGAUUAGAAACCCGAGUAGUCC